CUCUUUUAAGUUCUAAUUGUCAAUGCUACUCUCUUGUACUCCCAAAAUACAAGAAAUUGUAAUAUAAAAAAAUAACAACAAAAUGUAACAUGACAUAAUCACCUUGAAGGGUGCUCCAUUCUUACACUUUUACUUAGUGGUGAUAACAACAACAUGGUACCCAUACUAUUCAUUUCUUCUACUAUUCCAUUUGACCUAUGACUAAUCACAAUUCUAACUAUCCUUUCAGUUGCCUCUAUAUCCUAAUCUACUUAUACCAAUAAGUAUAGCUCUAAGAAAAAAUUGAAAUCCAUCCCAAGUUUUAAGUAUAAUACAGCCGUAACCAAUGCCCGUUAAUACAUGUAUUGAAUUGGUGGUCCAUAAAAUCUUUCAUUUGGAAUGACCAAUUAUACGCUCUAUGAUAUGCCCAUAAGGCUCCAAAUAAUUUGGUAUCCCAAUCCGUGCCCGCCC
Molecule: long non-coding RNA, 450 nt
Filed under: Physcomitrium patens
Lineage: Eukaryota; Viridiplantae; Streptophyta; Bryopsida; Funariales; Funariaceae
Description: long non-coding RNA (PPAT_LNC007376)
Source: RNAcentral